GCGCCCGUAGCUCAGUUGGAUAGAGCGUCUGCCUUCUAAGCAGAGGGUCGCAGGUUCGAAUCCUGCCGGGCGCGCCA
Molecule: transfer RNA, 77 nt
Filed under: Pseudomonadota bacterium
Lineage: Bacteria; Pseudomonadati; Pseudomonadota
Also listed under: 1 other name
Description: tRNA-Arg
Rfam family: tRNA
About the family: Transfer RNA (tRNA) molecules are approximately 80 nucleotides in length. Their secondary structure includes four short double-helical elements and three loops (D, anti-codon, and T loops). Further hydrogen bonds mediate the characteristic L-shaped molecular structure. tRNAs have two regions of fundamental functional importance: the anti-codon, which is responsible for specific mRNA codon recognition, and the 3' end, to which the tRNAs corresponding amino acid is attached (by aminoacyl-tRNA synthetases). tRNAs cope with the degeneracy of the genetic code in two manners: having more than one tRNA (with a specific anti-codon) for a particular amino acid; and 'wobble' base-pairing, i.e. permitting non-standard base-pairing at the 3rd anti-codon position.
Source: RNAcentral